GACGAACGCUGGCGGCGUGCCUAACACAUGCAAGUCGAACGGGGAGUUAGCAAUAACUCCUAGUGGCGAACGGGUGAGUAACGCGUAGACAACCUGCCUCUAAACUGGGGACAACACCGCGAAAGUGGUGCUAAUACCGAAUGUGGUAACUUGAUCGCAUGAUCGAGUUAAGAAAGAUGGCCUCUAUUUAUAAGCUAUCGAUUAGAGAUGGGUCUGCGUCUGAUUAGCUAGUUGGUGAGGUAAUGGCUCACCAAGGCGACGAUCAGUAGCCGGUCUGAGAGGAUGAAGGGCCACACUGGGACUGAGACACGGCCCAGACUCCGACGGGAGGCAGCAGUGGGGAAUCUUCCGCAAUGGACGAAAGUCUGACGGAGCAACGCCGCGUGAGUGAAGAAGGUCUUCGGAUUGUAAAGCUCUGUCGUUUGGGACGAACGUGGGUAGUGUGAAUAAUGCUAGCUAAUGACGGUACCAAAGGAGGAAGCCACGGCUAUCUACGUGCCAGCAGCAGCCGUAA
RNAcentral lists this ribosomal RNA (514 nucleotides) under uncultured bacterium. RNAcentral's name for it is "partial 16S ribosomal RNA". It matches the Rfam family "Bacterial small subunit ribosomal RNA", at positions 28 to 523 of the family's 1533-position model. The record is from RNAcentral.